Long non-coding RNA from Tripterygium wilfordii, 601 nucleotides. RefSeq lists it as uncharacterized. The record is from RefSeq and is a predicted model, not a curated record. NCBI's taxonomy places the organism in Eukaryota, Viridiplantae, Streptophyta, Magnoliopsida, Celastrales, Celastraceae. The transcript is spliced from 3 exons.
UUACCGAUACUUUCAAGCGCAACUGCGCAAGCAAGGGAACACCCAAGUAUGGUUUUUCGAGAAAAUCUGCUAUUGUAAUUUGAACUUCGAAACUUCAUCCAUGGCUAGCCAUUUGUGGCCAAAAUUAUUGACUGCUUCUCGCUCUCAACUUCGUCGCCAUAUUUCCUCCUCCGCUUCUCAAUUUCAAGCCCUUGACCCCUUCCACUGUUACCUCUCGUAGAGUGGUCGUCACCACACACCGGUUUGGGAAUGGUGAGACCGCUGGGUUGUGGAGUGGAAACAACGUGGAAGAGUCUGAUAGAGGGGGAAUGCAGGAUAAGGGCGAUUACUACUGAAGAUCUCUAGAUGAAUUCCUUUGACCGAGAAACCUAGCUACAUUCGAUCAAUUGACCUUAAAAGUUGCCGCAAUCGUGCCUUUCGGGUCCGACCUGGUUGAAUUCAACAAUACAUGUGGCUUCGUUCUAAGGAGUUCAGGACCAUAGGUCAAUUGCGAGAUUUAUCGGUUUUGUACUAUGUACUGCUGAUGAAGCUCUGAAGGAUGCAAUGUGGGAACCUUCUCAGCAAGAGCAGAAGGAAAGAACGGUAUUUGUUAAUUUUCUUU